This 440-nucleotide ribosomal RNA is filed under the name uncultured bacterium. RNAcentral's name for it is "partial 16S ribosomal RNA". It matches the Rfam family "Bacterial small subunit ribosomal RNA", at positions 338 to 795 of the family's 1533-position model. The record is from RNAcentral.
CCUACGGGCGGCAGCAGUGGGGAAUAUUGCACAAUGGGGGAAACCCUGAUGCAGCGACGCCGCGUGAGUGAAGAAGGAUUUCGGUACGUAAAGCUCUAUCAGCAGGGAAGAAAAUGACGGUACCUGACUAAGAAGCCCCGGCUAACUCCGUGCCAGCAGCCGCGGUAAUACGUAGGGGGCAAGCGUUAUCCGGAGUUACUGGGUGUAAAGGGAGCGUAUACGGCAGCGCAAGUCUGGAGUGAAAUCCCAUGGCUUAACCAUGGAACUGCUGUGGAAACUGUGCAGCUAGAGUGCAGGAGAGGUAAGCGGAAUUCCUGGUGUAGCGGUGAAAUGCGUAGAUAUUAGGCGGAACACCAGUGGCGAAGGCGGCUUACUGGACUGUAACUGACGUUGAGGCUCGAAAGCGUGGGGAGCAAACAGGAUUAGAUACCCCAGUAGUC